This is a long non-coding RNA of Pyrus x bretschneideri (Chinese white pear), 1091 nucleotides long. RefSeq lists it as uncharacterized. The transcript is spliced from 7 exons. The record is from RefSeq and is a predicted model, not a curated record. NCBI's taxonomy places the organism in Eukaryota, Viridiplantae, Streptophyta, Magnoliopsida, Rosales, Rosaceae.
ACUGUUCAUGAGCAGUGUUUUGGCGCAACUGCCCUUGAGCUGCUGCCUAUUCACAGCUAUUUUUUUUUCAUUUUGUACAGUAAAUUUACAAUUUUACCCUUUGUAUACACGUGUUGGUCAUCGUGGAAAAGAAACCUGCUUCUACGGGAUCUCGACGCGUUGAUGUGGUUCUAGAAAUUCUGGUCCUUCUGGACUCUUCGUUCCAUUUCAAAGCCAAGCUCUCAGACGUCUGAUUCUUUCUAAAAAAACUCUAGCCCUCUCCUUCCUGAACAGACUUCCCGCAAACGUCUCUGUUGCAUCUUUUUCGAUUAACACUUUUGAAACAAGAAAUUAAAUCGAUCUCCAAAAGUUCAACCCCCAAACUGGAUCAGGAUCCAUCACCAUCUCGCGAUGCCUUGCUCAGAUUGGCUCUGCACUCAUCAUCGAUGACUCUGCCUCCACGGAGGACUCCGCAAAUCCCAUCACCGAUAAAGCGACUCUGACUCAUGCAUGUGUGUAUUCUGUAAAGAGGCUUCUCAAUAUGUUGUCUGGACUAAAGAAAACGAGGAUGGGGCUCUCGAAAAUUUCAAAUCCCAAAAAAGAGAAAGGUAUGAAUUGGCAGAAGAUUGUGCAGACGAUGAUGAAGCAAAGCAGGCAAUGUUGCUCUACAUGAUACAAGAGAUAGACACCUUCAUCCAUAUGGAGUGCUAAUAUACAGAUUUUCUGGGAUUUUUUGUUUUUGAAUGGAAGUUAGCAUGAGAUUUUCACAUGACAUGGUUGAUGAGUAGAGAAACUCAUCUGGAGAAUGAGCCCCCCAAGACAACAAUGUUACUUUAAAGGAGCUGAGAUCAGCAUGUCACAACAAUCUCACAAGCAGAUGCCCAUACAUCACAUUAAGCAAGUUUCAAUCUUUUUAGCUUUCAAUUAAUAUUUCGUGUUGAUAUUUGAUUGAAUUUUGUUUGGGUGUUUGGUUUCGGGAUUUCUCAAGUUGAAUUGCAACGUGGGUAAUGAGAAAAAAAAAAAAAAAAAAAAAAAAAAAGGAUUUGGUCACUGGUUACAAGGUGACUUCACCUCUCACCCUCUCUGAAACUCAAUUUUGAAGUUGUCAUCCA